AGCUGUUUUGGGACUACAGUUCCCAUCACCCCUGACCACUGGUCCUUUUAGCUAGGGAUGAUGGGAGUUGUAGUCCCAAAACAGCU
This 86-nucleotide microRNA precursor is filed under the name Podarcis lilfordi (Lilford's wall lizard). The record is from RNAcentral. Lineage: Eukaryota; Metazoa; Chordata; Lepidosauria; Squamata; Lacertidae.